AAAUGAAUAGACGGGGGCCCGCACAAGCAGUGGAGCAUGUGGUUUAAUUCGAAGCAACGCGAAGAACCUUACCAGGGUUUGACAUCCCCUGACAGGCGUGGAAACACGUUUUCCCGGGUUUCCCGGGCAGGGAGACAGGUGCUGCAUGGUUGUCGUCAGCUCGUGCCGUGAGGUGUUGGGUUAAGUCCCGCAACGAGCGCAACCCUCGUCCUUUGUUGCCAGCGGGCAAGCCGGGCACUCAAAGGAGACUGCCGGAGACAAUCCGGAGGAAGGUGGGGAUGACGUCAAAUCAUCAUGGCCUUUAUGCCCUGGGCUACACACGUGCUACAAUGGCCGGUACAGCGGGUAGCGAAGGGGUGACCCUGAGCCAAUCCCAAAAAGCCGGUCCCAGUUCGGAUUGCAGGCUGCAACUCGCCUGCAUGAAGUCGGAAUUGCUAGUAAUCGCGGAUCAGAAUGCCGCGGUGAAUACGUUCCCGGGCCUUGUACACACCGCCCGU
Molecule: ribosomal RNA, 497 nt
Filed under: uncultured bacterium
Lineage: Bacteria
Description: bacterial SSU rRNA
Rfam family: Bacterial small subunit ribosomal RNA
Source: RNAcentral